AAGCUGGAAGCCCUACCUCUCUCUUUCGCGGGCAUCUCCACGUUCAAGGUCUCUCUCUGUAGAAAUAUACAGUGCUCUGGUUGUUAAUGAGUAGUGCUUGAUGGACAAGGCCCUUACACGGAUUUUUGAUGUCAAGACGUUGCUGCAAGAAUCAGCAUAAUGCAACCUAGUGAUGCACUAUUUUGGCCAUUUUUUUAUCCUAAAUUCUAAUUGUGAAUUACUUUAUUCUGAUCAUGAGAGUUGUGUUCAUGGUUCUUAAGAUGUAUUGAGUAUUUCACACAAAUUUAGCAUCAAGGUUCGACUCAAAAUGAGAUCAAAUGAUGCUUGAUUUACUGCUGCUAGAAUAACUGCAGUUACAAGAGAAAAUGCUACUGAGUUUGAAUUCUUU
This is a long non-coding RNA of Amborella trichopoda, 388 nucleotides long. RefSeq lists it as uncharacterized. The record is from RefSeq and is a predicted model, not a curated record. NCBI's taxonomy places the organism in Eukaryota, Viridiplantae, Streptophyta, Magnoliopsida, Amborellales, Amborellaceae.